This 1511-nucleotide long non-coding RNA is filed under the name Gossypium barbadense (sea-island cotton). RNAcentral's name for it is "long non-coding RNA (GBAR_LNC004345)". The record is from RNAcentral. Lineage: Eukaryota; Viridiplantae; Streptophyta; Magnoliopsida; Malvales; Malvaceae.
UAAUCCCAGAAAAAUAAUUAAAAUGGCCUUAUUACAACCCAAAACCAAAUAAUAAUAUUAAUAAGAUAAAACUUAUAAAGAAAUAAAUCGGCUACUUAUUGCAAUUAAAAGAAACAGAAAUAGUAGUGUGGCCAUCUCCGAGUCCCUCGCAGCUCCAAACCAUCUAAGCUUAGGGAUUACCUGCACAGUUAGAAACGGGGUGAGUUUACGAAAACUCAGUGUGUAAUCCCAAUAACAAACAAACAGUAAAUAACACGGUAUCAGUACAAUCUAGGCCAAAGCCCUAUUUAGUCUUGACAUAUACUAGCCUUUCCAUAAAUCAUAUCAGUAGGCCGAAGCCUUUUCAUAAAUCAUAUCACUGGGCCGAAGCCUUUACUAUAAACGGUAUGGCCCUUAGGCCCAUUUCAAUAUCACAUGUAAUGUCAAUGGAUGUAUGCAAGCCCAUUUCAAUAUCACAUGUAAUGUCAAUGAAUGUAUGCAAGCCCAUUUGGGGAGACUACUCGACCCACCAUCCGUUACUCUCCACCCGUACCAACCAAGCUCUCCAUGUGGGGAAUAGCUCAACCCACCCAACCAAACUCUCCACUGGCAGCAUAGCUUCUUUAUCAUAUAAGUGGAGGCCUAGCCUCUUUUAAUAACUGGGGCAAAGCCCUUUCUGAUAAACUAGGGCAAAACCCUUUUCGGUAAACUGGGGCAGAGCCCUUUCAGCACUUCCUCCAUCAAUAUAACCCAUAUCCCAUGCAAUAUUUCAUGUAUGCAGAAUGUCAUGCCCAUAUUUGAAUCAAACAAUCACAGUCAAGUCAUUCAUAUCACCAACAUAUAUUCACAAUCAAAUCCGUCAACCACACAGUCCAAGUUAGUCACUUGCCCACAAGGGCAAAACAGUCAUUUUUCAUAUUAUAAGGGUAUUUUCGUAAUUUUACCAAAAAUUAGGGUUUUCCAUGUUCAUUAUAAUUUUCAAUAUUUCCGAGUGUUUAAACAAUGAUCUUUAACCCACUAAUCAAAUUCGGGCUUUUGGGCCCAAAACCCCUAAUGGGCCCUAUGAAUGCUGAUUUAGCCCACUAAGCCUGCUUAACCCAAAUUUUACAACAAUACUAACCGUGUUAACAUGCAACUUUUCCAAAUUCCAUUUUCUAUCAAUUUUACCCAAAUGGGCCCAAAAGCCCAUUUGGCCCAAUUCUUGCCCAUUGAGGCCCAACUUACCAUCGUGCACAAAAUUGAGUUCUUACCCGUUCCAUCGCUCCAAACACCGAUCUUAUCGUAUUUAUCGCAUCUAUACCCACACGCAACAUUACAAGUUCCCGAAAUGCCGGUAUUUUAGCAUUUUGGCUUCUCAACAGAUAUUAAUCUAAGCUACUACGAGGGUUAGUACACACCUAUUACGGGUUGAAGUUGAAACGUUUCCAUAAUCAAUCACCUGAUAGGAGACUGGAGUUAAUCCACGCUCCGAGCACUCUUAGCCGAUGCCCAACCCAAACGAGCACGCCAUACAGCGAAAGGGAUCAGCCAAG